UCCGAUUUGUCACCGGCAGUCUCCUAUGAGUCCCCGUCUUUCACGCUGGCAACAUAGGACAGGGGUUGCGCCCCUUGCGGGGACCACCCAUCUCUGGGCUUAGCACGGGAUGUCAAGGCCUGGUAAGGUUCUGCGCGUUGCGUCGAAUUAAACCACAUGCUCCACCGCUUGUGCGGGCCCCCGUCAAUUCCUUUGAGUUUCAACCUUGCGGCCGUACUCCCCAGGCGGGAUGCUUAAUGCGUUAGCUGCGCCACUGAUAAGCAUGCUUACCAACGGCUAGCAUCCAUCGUUUACGGCGUGGACUAC
Molecule: unclassified non-coding RNA, 306 nt
Filed under: uncultured Alphaproteobacteria bacterium
Lineage: Bacteria; Pseudomonadati; Pseudomonadota; Alphaproteobacteria
Description: contains 16S-23S intergenic spacer region
Source: RNAcentral